Molecule: long non-coding RNA, 501 nt
Organism: Physeter macrocephalus (sperm whale)
Lineage: Eukaryota; Metazoa; Chordata; Mammalia; Artiodactyla; Physeteridae
Exons: 3
Source: RefSeq, a predicted model, not a curated record
GCAGGUUCCAUCCGGGAUGGCGCGCGCGGGAACGGCGGGGCGCACCGGAGGGGCGCACUGCGCGCGCGCGGAGGUUGGGGGUCUCAGACAACUUGCACGUCUUGGACUUCACUGCACCCGGAGUUAGGAGGCCUAGGUCAAGUCAUAGCCCUGACCCUUGCUGGGAGUGACCUCGGACAAGUCACUGGUCCCUGAGCCCCGGAUCUCUGAAAAGUAACGCCGGCCUUGCAUGCAUCCUUUGGCCCUUGUCACAGCGCUGGCCUCUGCUCCUCCAGCUCUUCGUUCCUCAUCAGAAACCUCCCAGGUCCUUAACUGGCUCUUCUUGGGCAUAUGAAUGUUGAAGAUAAAAAACCUCUAUUUUCUGAUUCAGGAUUCAUCAUAAAGUUAUCCUUUCAUUUUUCUGUCCUCAUCCACCCAUUGUUUUAUUUAUUCUUCAGUCUCUUAAACUGUUUUCCAUACCUCCAGCCUCCAUAUCAGCUGUCGGAUAACAUCCUCUAACUC